RNAcentral lists this ribosomal RNA (306 nucleotides) under uncultured Peredibacter sp. RNAcentral describes it as "bacterial SSU rRNA". It matches the Rfam family "Bacterial small subunit ribosomal RNA", at positions 1033 to 1340 of the family's 1533-position model. The record is from RNAcentral. Lineage: Bacteria; Pseudomonadati; Bdellovibrionota; Bacteriovoracia; Bacteriovoracales; Bacteriovoracaceae.
GACAGGUGCUGCAUGGCUGUCGUCAGCUCGUGUUGUGAAAUGUUGGGUUAAGUCUCGCAACGAGCGCAACCCCUAUCUUUAGUUGCCAGCAUUAAGUUGGGCACUCUAGAGAGACUGCCCGGGUUAACCGGGAGGAAGGUGGGGAUGACGUCAAGUCCUCAUGGCCCUUAUGCCUAGGGCUACACACGUAAUACAAUGGUGCAUACAGAGGGAAGCAAACGGGUGACCGCUAGCAAAUCUCAAAAAGUGCAUCUCAGUCCGGAUUGGAGUCUGCAACUCGACUCCAUGAAGUUGGAAUCGCUAGUA